This 121-nucleotide ribosomal RNA is filed under the name Aegilops tauschii subsp. strangulata. The record is from RNAcentral. Lineage: Eukaryota; Viridiplantae; Streptophyta; Magnoliopsida; Poales; Poaceae.
GGAUGCGAUCAUACCACAGCACUAAAGCACCGGAUCCCAUCAGAACUCCGAAGUUAAGCGUGCUUGGGCGAGAGUAGUACUAGGAUGGGUGACCUCCAGGGAAGUCCUCGUGUUGCAUUCC